GGUGUAAUGUCCCUGAACAACUUGCAGGGACCCAGGAGAAAAAAACACCAUUCAUAAGCAAAGGAUAAACUAUGGGAGUGGAAACACCGAGAAAAAGCAACUGCCUGAAUACAGAGGUUGAGGGGACAUGACAGAGGAUAGACUCUAAAUGAACACUCUAAUGCAAAUACUAUCAACAAAGCAAUGGGUUCAAAUCAAGAAAACAUCUAAUGCCCAGUGGACUUACGCGUCAGCUAUGGGGGUGGGGGGGAGGAAAAGAAAAUGAUCUAUGUCUUUAACGAAUAAUGCUUGGAAAUGAUCAAAUAAAAUAUAUUAAAUAAAAAAAAAUAAAUUUGACAAUUGAGAGAAAGUAAUUUUUAAAUAAUAUUUUGUUUUUCCCCAAUUACAUGUAAACACCAUUUUAAACUAUUUUAAAAUGAACUGGGGAGUAAAGAGGAUACUCUCCUAGGAGCAAGGUGGCAAAGUCCAGAGCCAAUUAUAGUCAGGAGGAAAGAGAAUAAAGCCUUACUGGCCUGGGGUUCAUCCCCAAAAUUGAGGGAUGAUGUCAUUUUUAAGGAAUCUGCUUACUGAUUUUCCCAAAGUGUUAAAACAAAGAAUUCAAAGACUGAUAAUGGCUGAAUUGACUAUGAAUUGGCCUUGCCUCUUUCCCAGGACUUAAUUAAAGAGGAGCUUCUGUGAACUCAGUGUAAUUUCAUUGUUGCUCCCCAUUUUUCCUAAAAUUGAUUUAAGCUCCCCACUUUCUGUAGUUUUUAUUGAACCUCAGUACAAUGUCUCUGUGUGUUUUUCCAGAUUAUAAUGUCUGUUCCAAUCAAACAUCUUUUAUUAGAACUACAUUAGUAGGAUCUUUUUCUAGGCUGACAUAUUGGAGGUCCCACCAAGAUUGGAAAUCUCAUGCCCAACUGUCUGCUAAAGUGACCACUGGACAAGCCUACAGGAACCCAUUGCAUUCCAGUCUAUAUUCAACUCAGCAAUUAGGCAUGGGUCCAAUACACACCACCAGCCAUGACACCCUGCAAAAUUUGUCUUCAAGAAUUCCAACCAUGCCUUACAAUGACUGCUCCUUCAGGUGAUAGUAUACCCUUCCAGAG
RNAcentral lists this long non-coding RNA (1088 nucleotides) under Monodelphis domestica (gray short-tailed opossum). RNAcentral's name for it is "lncRNA (ENSMODG00000042302.1)". Lineage: Eukaryota; Metazoa; Chordata; Mammalia; Didelphimorphia; Didelphidae. The record is from RNAcentral.